AUACUUUAAAAGCAUUUUUAUCGUACAUGUGUUUAAAUAAUUCAUAAGAACAAGUAAUAAUACCUCAUGUUAUCUAUUUUUCAAAAAUAUUUCAUAUUUUUCCACCUCUUCUUUCAGAUGAUCUUUAGAAAAACUUGUGAAGAUUCAAUGUGGCGGUUGUCUUUCAAAGAUGGUCUUGUCAAUCACAAGACAUUCAAGAGGAUAUGCAGAGCCCAUUCUUUCAAAAAGAGGAGCGUAAACUUCGCAUAAAAACAUGGAAGAUGGAAAAUAUUUUGGCCACUAUCUUGGAAAUGUAAUCCGCCACAUGGAUCUUAAGAUUCAUUUUUUAUUUUUGCUUGUUGUGAGCAAUAAAAUAUUUACCUAGGCUUAUAUAAUGCAUACAUCACAAUUUUCCCAAAGAAGAAUUUUAAUAUGGGAGUUUUGGAUACACACAGGAUGUGAAUUGCAGACGUUCUCCUAAGAGUUUACCUAGUUGUUUAAGGUACUGAAACUUAAUCUUCAGUUCCAUGGUACUGGGAGAUAAGGUAUGUGGUAAUGGAAUCAGUGUCUUUAUGAAAGAUGUUGGAGAGAGCUUAUCUGUUGUUUCCACCAUGUGAAGACACAUCAGUGAGGCACCAUCUUU
Molecule: long non-coding RNA, 622 nt
Organism: Sapajus apella (tufted capuchin)
Lineage: Eukaryota; Metazoa; Chordata; Mammalia; Primates; Cebidae
Exons: 3
Source: RefSeq, a predicted model, not a curated record